GCGGGUUUAACUCAGCUGGUAGAGUACGAGCUUCCCAAGCUCGCUGUCGCCGGUUCGAAUCCGGUAACCCGCUCCA
RNAcentral lists this transfer RNA (76 nucleotides) under Pseudomonadota bacterium. Its description in RNAcentral is "tRNA-Gly". It matches the Rfam family "tRNA". Rfam says of the family: Transfer RNA (tRNA) molecules are approximately 80 nucleotides in length. Their secondary structure includes four short double-helical elements and three loops (D, anti-codon, and T loops). The record is from RNAcentral. Lineage: Bacteria; Pseudomonadati; Pseudomonadota. RNAcentral also lists the same sequence under 3 other names.